CAAGAACAGAACAGUAGAAAACCCCAGGCAGAGCUGAAGACAGUGACAGAAGAGAUUAUUGCUUCUGAAGAAGAAAAAAAUGAUUACAAGUCACACAUAUAUCUAAAUCUUAUCCUUAAGGAAAUGCAAAUAGUUCAUUUGUCAACAUUUCAUCCCUGACAUUAGUUGAUUCUACGUUGACUUAGUCAGGAUUCUCUGAAGAAACAGAACCAGGAGAAUAUAUACAGAUAUAUUAGAAGGAAUUUACUGAGGGGGGUUGGCUCAAGUGAUUACAGAGGAUAAGAAGUCUCAUGCCCUGCCAUCUUCAAGCUGAAGAAUCGGAAAGUCACUGAUGUAAUUCAGUCCAAGUCUAAUGGCCUGAUAACUAAGAGUCAACUGAUGUAAUUCCCAGUCUGAGCCUGAAGUUCUGCGAUCUAGGAAGAGGAGUACUAGUAAUAGAGGCUAACAGCCCAAGGACCAAUUCUGAUACCUGAACUCCACAAUAUAGAGUGAGACUUCAUCAGUCCUUUGCCCUUUGUUCUAUUACAGCCCUCAGUGGAUUGGAUGAUGUCUAUUUAUACUCAUAAUGGUGGGUAUUAUUUAUUCAGUCCAAUGAUUCAAAUGCUAAUGUCUUCAGAAACACUCUCACAAACUGGCCCAGAACUAAUGUUUUUCCAAUUGUCUGUGUAUUCUUUUGGCCAGUCAAGUCUACUGUCACAUAUGUAUUUUUGAAUGUUACCUGCAUAUGCAAUAUUCAAAUUCUCUUAUUGUUUAUCCACUAAAAGUUGAUUCCAUAUUAUGGAAUCUAAGCACUAAAUUUUAUUUAGAAAUGAUAAAUGUGUGUACAUGCAUGGAGUGUGUGUAUGUCCAGAUACAAAACCAUUUAGAUAUCCAUCCUGAAAGAUCAAGUAAAAUACAAAUGAAUUGCAUCUAUUGCAAACUUCUUAUACAUAGUCUGCUCUUUGCUCAGUUUUCCACUUUUAAUUUGGACAACACUACUUAUGAAGGCUAAAUACAUCUAUUUAUUGACAGUCCCUAAGUCAUAUCUUAAACUUCACAUAUCUUUAAUUUUUCUCCCAUUACACUUACUAAAAUUUGCUACUUAUAUCUAUUAAUGAACCAUCAAUAUCUACAGUAAUUUUGGCAUAACUCUCUAUAUUAUGAAGUGUAUCAUGACAGAUCUCUGGCAAUAUUAACUGGGCAGUUGUUUAACUGUCAUUUCAUAUUCCCUGUAGUAUGAGUAUACACUUACAUUGUACUGUGAACUUUCUUUGCUAAGCAUGGUAUUUGAAAGUGAAAAAGUUUGAAUAAAAAAUAUUCUGUUCUUAUUAAUUGAACAUGACAAAAAUUGUUGCAUAAAAUUUUGUGUCAUUUUCUUUGUUUUUCCAUAAUCAUAUAAUGAUUAAAAUGUUAGAAAAUAGUAGUAUGUUCAUAGGGUACAUUCUGAUACUGUAUUUCAAUAGAUGUAG
Molecule: long non-coding RNA, 1448 nt
Filed under: Heterocephalus glaber (naked mole-rat)
Lineage: Eukaryota; Metazoa; Chordata; Mammalia; Rodentia; Bathyergidae
Description: lncRNA (ENSHGLG00000043877.1)
Source: RNAcentral